UUUAUUCACAACUAUGUCAUUUUACCUGAUGUGUCAUCACCGCAUAUUUUUUUUUUUGUCAUCUGGAGAUUAUAAUAAAACAGGUGAAAAACAUUCAGAUACAACUAAACCGACAAGGAACACUUUCCUUUCGGAGCCAGAAGCCGGCAAAGAUCGAAAUCUUUCCAGAGCCAUAAAAUAAACUACUAGACAACUAUAUAGAACAGAUAAUAAGGAAAUCUAAGACAAGCCAAAAGCCGAGACAUAAGAAUGGAAAUACUCUUGUGAUCGCAGUCCAAAGAGCAGAGCACAUCGAUCUCCAAACCAAGAUAGAAACAAGUCAGAGAAACUUCAGAGAAACAUGUAGAGGGCCUGAAAAAGACUUCUAUCCAAAGAGCCAAAACGCAAAGGUGGAAGAUCCUCAAAGUUCCCAAAGCAUCAAGCCAGAACUUACAUCAGUCCAUCCAUAUUGUAGCACAAAUAAGUCCAAAUGGAUCUUCAAAGGAAACCAGAUGAAAACUCUGAAUACUUACCAAAACUGAAGCUAUUCCACAAAACUUACACUCGAACAAGGCUUACGAGAAUUCCAAUGAAUCAUCCAAGAACUGAUGGUGAAAUGUUGCGACUGGAAGGAAGGAAGAGCCAAUAGACUUCUGAUGCCUUAUUUGAGAGAUUGCCAAACCAAACCCACACAAUGAAGAACCCACAUCUGAACCGGCAAAGUACUUCCACCACAUACCAGAAACCAUAUAAGGUUUAACAAAGGCAGCUCGAACCAAGCAAGGAAACAUCAGAAGGACCAUAGCAACUACAUUGAACCACCUCAAACGAGCAUAAACCAUAGAGAAACCCAAUGCACAAUCAGAUUAAUAUCUCGAUUCACAAAACAGAACAAACCAGCAAACAUCACACUCAUCUUGACUAAACGAAAUUAAACUGCUACAGACCAAGCUACAACCUGUGGAAAGCAAAACACGACCCACCCUCCAACGACAAGGCGACAACACUCAAAUCCAUUCAGAUCUACGAUCUACUUCCCAUCAACCACAGGCGGAGAGAGCACGCCCUUGACAUAGAAGCAGACCUCGCCGAAAUUGAAACAGCACCCUUCCACUGAUCGGCCACCCAAACCACCAUCACUGUCGGAGAAGCGUUCCAUCACUAACCACCACCGUUCCAUCACUAACCACCACCGUCAAAGUUGAAAAGACUACAGGUGAAUGAUUACUAGAAAAGAGAGAGCAGGGAGGUCAUCUCACAGCACGGCGAGGAGCGCCGGCCGGAGACGACCUCAGAUGGAAGAGAUGAAGCUGAGUCGUGAGAGAGUUUUAAAGGUUUUUUUUAGUUAACAGAUGCUCCACUGUCUUUUUCCCUAUGAUUUCUGACUGCGUACCUUCUCAACCUACAUUUAAUAUCACCCUUUCUUUACUAGAUAUAUUACAAAAGUUUUCAUUGGUAUCACUAAUAUAUAAUACAACGUUAUACAAUAUAUAUAGUUCGAAACGUGGAAAACAUUUACUAACAAUUAGAAAUAACUAUUAAACUGUAGACCCCCUCAUUAUAUUCCCUCACAUUUCUAAUACUAGCAUUAUAAAUAUUUUCUUACAAAUAGAAACAUUUACUCAUAUCACUUGUUCACCUUUAUGAAAUAUAAAGCCAUUAUUUUAUUCAGAUCUUUUUAUUUUCUGUAAAACCAUGACUAAGAAACAUACUUGAUAUUUCUAUAAAAUGGCUAAAUGUUGGUUCUGCAAACCUAAAAAUCCAUUGCAUGUACUAGCAAUAUAAGAUUCAAGAAAAAAAAACAGAAAAUGAGUUUUAUAGCUGAAAUAUAUAUAUAUAUAUAUAUAACCAAGCAAGGAAACAUCAGAAGGACCAUAGCAACUACAUUGAACCACCUCAAACGAGCAUAAACCAUAGAGAAACCCAAUGCACAAUCAGAUUAAUAUCUCGAUUCACAAAACAGAACAAACCAGCAAACAUCACACUCAUCUUGACUAAACGAAAUUAAACUGCUACAGACCAAGCUACAACCUGUGGAAAGCAAAACACGACCCACCCUCCAACGACAAGGCGACAACACUCAAAUCCAUUCAGAUCUACGAUCUACUUCCCAUCAACCACAGGCGGAGAGAGCACGCCCUUGACAUAGAAGCAGACCUCGCCGAAAUUGAAACAGCACCCUUCCACUGAUCGGCCACCCAAACCACCAUCACUGUCGGAGAAGCGUUCCAUCACUAACCACCACCGUUCCAUCACUAACCACCACCGUCAAAGUUGAAAAGACUACAGGUGAAUGAUUACUAGAAAAGAGAGAGCAGGGAGGUCAUCUCACAGCACGGCGAGGAGCGCCGGCCGGAGACGACCUCAGAUGGAAGAGAUGAAGCUGAGUCGUGAGAGAGUUUUAAAGGUUUUUUUUAGUUAACAGAUGCUCCACUGUCUUUUUCCCUAUGAUUUCUGACUGCGUACCUUCUCAACCUACAUUUAAUAUCACCCUUUCUUUACUAGAUAUAUUACAAA
RNAcentral lists this long non-coding RNA (2496 nucleotides) under Brassica napus (rape). Its description in RNAcentral is "long non-coding RNA (BNAP_LNC014056)". The record is from RNAcentral. Lineage: Eukaryota; Viridiplantae; Streptophyta; Magnoliopsida; Brassicales; Brassicaceae.